RNAcentral lists this long non-coding RNA (1984 nucleotides) under Canis lupus familiaris (dog). RNAcentral's name for it is "lncRNA (ENSCAFG00040000219.1)". The record is from RNAcentral. Lineage: Eukaryota; Metazoa; Chordata; Mammalia; Carnivora; Canidae.
AUGAAAUGGCAAGGUCAUAAAUUCUGCCUAUCGUACUUUCCUUGGUUCUUCACAGGACGUCCUCCUCCUCGUUCUCCAGGACAUGAAUAUGCUGCACCUAAGAAUUUGGCUCAAGAGUCAAGAGAGAUAAACAGUUACCGUCACAUAAGGAUUCAUCUCAAGGGGUCUCCUAUUGAUGAUCUCAGCUCUUGCUCUCCACUUAUUCCCCUUUUCAGAUUUCUUUCAUCCUCCUAUGAUACACGGGUUUUCUGGAUGGCAGACAGUAGACAAGAUUAAAGUAAAAGACAAAAUAUAUCUUGAGUAUUUUGUCAGAAGAACAGACUUAUCCCUGCUUGUUGAACAUAAUAGGACUGGAAAGAGCUUUUAUAACUGGGCUCUGGUCAACCAUGGCAGGUAAGAAAGAUUUGGUGCUCGUGGUUGAUGCUGAAUCAUGCAUCAUCAGUUGUUUUCUUACAAUGAAAGGAAAUGGCAGUUUAUGAAUUCUAAAACAAAAUCACAGGGGAUUAAGGAAGAAAUGUCUGGCCAGGGGCUUUGGUUCUUAAAAAAUUAAAAUGUAAUUUAAAAAUAUUGUUAUCUUGUGUUGGCUCAGAUAAUUUUUAAAAAUUUUUUCCUCUUUUUAUAUAAGCAAUUCUCGAUUGUCCAUGAUAUUGGGGUCAAGGAAAACUUGGGAAACAAAUCCAAAGAUGGGAGUGUUUCAGUCCUUACUAGGCCUCAUUAAUCCUGCUUGUCUAGCAUUAGCCUCUGAACCUCACCUGGUAACAGUUGUAUUUCAUUUCUUUUUUACUUCUUUGUUCAUUUCCUGUUAAAGAUUAUGGUGGAUAAUAAAAUAGCCAGAAGAAUAGGGACAGAGGGCCUGUAUGAUUAUCAACUAAAUGGGUAAAUAGCCCUUGCCAUUGAGAAUUUACUAUGCUUUUUAAAUACUGACUAUUCAUUUUUUAAGUCACAAUCCAGUUUUAGAAACUAACUCAAUCUUUAUUUUCUCUAGCAAGUUUGUACUUGAACAAUGUAAACUCUUAUCCAAGGAGAGGCUAUAUUUUUAAAUCACACAAUACAUUUCAUGAAAGUACAGAUUAACUUUAACUUUAGAAAAGGGAAAAAACUAGUGCCAUUUCCACCUUCUUUCAGUGGGGAAAUAUUUAUUGAGGUGUCUUCUAAAAGAGUAAAUGAUGUUUCAAUGUCUAUCAACAUGCAGAAGAGAAUUUGCCAUACCCUGCAUGGAUGUUGUAUGUGUUUUUAUGCAUUUAACAAUAAAAAAGGGAAAGACUCUCCCACCCUCACUCUGAAAAAUUGCAGAACUGAUGCACAAAUUCAAUAAAGUUGCAGGAUGCAAAAUCAAUGUAUGGAGAUCUGUUGCAUUUGUAAUAUAACUUGAAGUCUAGAAUAAGAUAUCUAGGAAUAAACCUAACCAAAGAGGUAAAAGCUCUAUACUCUGAAAACUAUAAAACACUGAUGAAAGAAAUUGAAGAUGACAUAAACAAAUGGAAAAACGUUCCAUGCUCAUGGAUUGGGAGAACAAAUAUUGUUUUUGUUUUUCUUUUUAAUUUAAAUUCAAGUUAGUUAAUGUAUAGCAUAUUACUGGUAUCAGGAGUAGAAUGUAGUGGUUCCUCACUUACCUUUAACACCCAGUGCUUAUCCCACCAAGUGCCCUCCUUAAUGCCCAUCACCCAUUAAGCCCAUCCCCCUACCCACCUCCCCUCCAGCAACCUUCAGUUUGUUCUCUACUGUUAAGAGUCUGUUAUGAUUUACUUCCUUCUCUGUUUUCAUUUUUCCUUCCCUACCCCUAUGUUCAUUUGUUUUGUUUCUGAAAUUCCACAUAUAAGUGAAAUCACAUGGUAUUUGUGUUUCUCUGACUGACUUAUUGCGCUUGGCAUAAUACUUUCUAGCUCCAUCCACAUGGCAAAGGGCAAGAACUCAUCCUAUUUUAUGGCUGCAUAAUAUUCCACUGUGUGUAAAUAUAUAUAUUUAAAUAUAUAUAAUAUAUUAA